AGCAGAGGACCUGCCUGGAACAGUGGU
This 27-nucleotide non-coding RNA is filed under the name Homo sapiens (human). The record is from RNAcentral. Lineage: Eukaryota; Metazoa; Chordata; Mammalia; Primates; Hominidae.